AUUGAACGCUGGCGGCAUGCCUUACACAUGCAAGUCGAACGGCAGCACGGGUGCUUGCACCUGGUGGCGAGUGGCGAACGGGUGAGUAAUACAUCGGAACAUGUCCUGUAGUGGGGGAUAGCCCGGCGAAAGCCGGAUUAAUACCGCAUACGAUCUACGGAUGAAAGCGGGGGACCUUCGGGCCUCGCGCUAUAGGGUUGGCCGAUGGCUGAUUGGCUAGGUGGUGGGGUAAGGGCCUACCAAGGCGACGGUCAGUAGCUGGUCUGAGAGGGCGACCAGCCACACUGGGACUGAGACACGGCCCAGACUCCUACGGGAGGCAGCAGUGGGGAAUUUUGGACAAUGGGCGAAAGCCUGAUCCAGCAAUGCCGCGUGUGUGAAGAAGGCCUUCGGGUUGUAAAGCACUUUUGUCCGGAAAGAAAUCCUUGGCCCUAAUACGGUCGGGGGAUGACGGUACCGGAAGAAUAAGCACCGGCUAACUACGUG
RNAcentral lists this ribosomal RNA (486 nucleotides) under uncultured bacterium. Its description in RNAcentral is "partial 16S ribosomal RNA". It matches the Rfam family "Bacterial small subunit ribosomal RNA", at positions 29 to 507 of the family's 1533-position model. The record is from RNAcentral.